UUUUUUUUUUUUGUUGACAAUAGAACUUUGCAUAAUCUGUUUGUAUGUGUAAUCAUCAAUCAGUUUACGAUGAGAGGCAUAUGCUUGAACAUGGAAGUUUGCCUUCAGAUAAUAAUGAGAAUUGUGUCAGAAAAAAAAAUAGAGCAAGAUUAAGCCUGGAUAGGCUUAGUUAUAUAUUGUACUGAAAAAAAAAACUAGAGCAAGAAUAAGUACCUGCCAAGGCAAGACGCAAUAUAAAUAUGACCAGGAUAAGUUGGAGAUUGGCCAGUUCUGAGUUUUGCUAAUAUCGAUUCUUCCUAUAGGGGCAUCUCCUGGUGAAGGCACCGGGGCAACUAUGUCCGAUGACGAAGACAAUCCGGUCGACAGUGAGAGCAACAUGUUUGACGGGAACGAUGUGUCAGAUGGCAUGGGCUUCGGAAUGCUAACCGAGGGUGAGAGAUCCUUGGUCGAGCGCGUGAGGCAAGAGCUGAAGCAUGAGCUUAAACAGGUAAAACUCGCUGCCUUCCAUUCUGUCAGCUGCCACUAUGUUGGUGUCCAAACUGAACUGUAAACAAAAUUAUUUUCCUGACUUUGCAGGGGUAUAGAGAAAAGCUUGUGGACAUCAGGGAGGAGAUACUGCGGAAGCGAAGAGCCGGAAAGCUCCCAGGGGACACGGCGUCUACCCUGAAAGCUUGGUGGCAAGCCCACGCCAAAUGGCCGUACCCAACUGUAUGUGACAGACAUCCCGCAUAUACCGUCAUCGCCAGCAACUUUGUCACCAUUUUACAUGCAAUUCUUGUUGUGCUACUGAUGAGCAUCGCUGGUGGGUAUUGCUAGGAGGAGGACAAGGCGCGGCUGGUGCAGGAGACGGGGCUGCAGCUGAAGCAGAUCAACAACUGGUUCAUCAACCAGCGCAAGCGGAACUGGCACAGCAACCCUACCUCGUCCUCGUCAGACAAGAGCAAGAGAAAAAGGUACGGCGAUCGGCCCAAAAACAAUCCUUUCAUCACAUGCUUGAAAUCGCUCAGGUUUUCAUUCCCUCUCUUUCAUUCUCAAAAAAAAAAAAGGAACAAUGCAGGUGAGGGCAACGCCGAGCAGUCCUGGUAGGGCGGGUGCGGUCGGUCGGAGAGCGAAGAACGAAGAACGAAUGCCCCCAUAUAUGUACAUAGCGCUUCCAUCUUGGAGAAGGCUUUGAUACUGCUAUUUAUUGCUCGGGAGACGACGUCGGCCGCUAUUCGCGCGCGGCGUCUCCCCGAGGACCCAACCAUCUGUGUUCCCCAAAAAGAAAAAAAAAACAUGGUAGUAGUAAUGUAAUGCUGUAAUGGAAUUACCCGAGAUGUGUACUAGCUGUUUUGUGGCGCGCCGCGGCGUCGCUGUGAGCGAGUGUGUACGGGCUGUUCCGUGGUGUGUGUGUCUGUGGAUGAUUGUGUGUUGCGUUGCCGUGGGACUGGUGCAAGUGUCGUGUGAUGUGGUAUGUGUUGUGUGUGGGUGGGUGCUGUAUAUUUGCGUACCUCUAUGUGUACUGACCGUGAUGCGUUGUUUGUCCGUUUUAUCUCUCUAUAUAUUGUCCGUUGUUUGUCCGUUCGGCAUCCCAGCUGGUGCGUCCCAGCCGAGAGAUUUGGCACGCGGAGAGGAGGAAGAUCCGCGAUGGACAUGGGGAUGCACGAACCGGACAAGGCUUGGUUUGCGGCGCUACCGGUACGACGAUAUCUCCGGCCGGAUCCUCUCGCGCAGAUCGAAAAUACUAGACAGACGACACUCCAUGCACGAUGCAUGCACGAUUUACAAUCAGAUGGAUGUGAAGCACUUUAUUCCCUGAUUCAAUGGCUGGAUGUGGAGCGUCGUUCAUGCAUCGUCCAAAAACGUCGUGUGUAUAGCAGCUCUCCGCGCAGAUCCCGGGAAGUUAACAAACGGAACCAUCACAUGCGCAUCGUCCUCGUCGUCCCCCCGUCGUGGCACCCCCGCAUGUGCCCCGGGCAUGGGCGCCCCGGACUUCACUCGGCCGUGCAAAGUCAGCAGCAUCCGAGAUGGCAUCGGCAUGGGUGAGCCACGAGACCCAGGCCACAGAAUCAGCAGAAAACCAAGGAUGGACACGAGUAACAAGGGCCAUAAUAAGAUUCUGAAAAUGCAGGAAUAGGAAAAGUACUUGAUUCCUAUAUAGGAUUAGUAAAGAGUGUUUGAUGCCACAUGAAAGACAAAGAAACUCUAAUAGAAGGUUAGAGUGGAUGUUUACAUUUCCUACGAAAUGUAGUAAGUACUCUAUAAUAUUUCAUAUGAAAAACCCCUAUGGAAUUCAAUCCUAUUACGAACCCAAGGGACGACAUAAGAAAAAUUCCCAAGGACUUCCAAGGAGCCCUAAGAAAAAUACCCUAUAGGAUUUCUUUGAAUCAAAGGAGCCCCAAGUAGAGCAGCCGCAGCUCUUUCAGGCAGAAAACAGAGGGAACAACAUGUUUUUUCCUCACAGGAUAAUAAAACAAAACAACUGGACCCUUUUUACAGAGACACCGAACCAUUUCGGCAUACAUCACAAACACACGAAAAACACAAGCAUAUACAAGCAACAUAGGACCUCAACUGACAGUUCCCAAAACUUGUAUUACCACCACCCACAUUACACAACCAGUUCAUCACCACAUUCUUCAGACUGACCCGACCAACAGACCGACCGAACCGACGACUUCCAAACAACUCGAUUAUUACCCACAAGAAAAGGAAGGGAAGAAAAUAAAUAAAAUAUCGGACUCUCUAUAACUGACAAUAAGACUGGCUUACUCAGCGCGCCUCUAAGCCAAAGCCAAAGGGGAAGGGUAUAAAUGAAUGAAUACGGAUCUGGGACGACGACCGACCGACACUUCUAGACACGGGGAGGCUGGGAGGGAGGGCUCAUGAUUUUAUGAUUACAAGAUAUGAAACAAUGAAGGGGUAUGAACAGAUAGAUAGACACCCUAGGGACCGACCGACGCAACGAAAGAACGAAACCAACCAUAUAUAUAAUAUUUAUAUAUAUCAGCACCGGAUUUCCUAAAAUACGCAAUAUGCGAAGGAGAACUUGUCCAAGACGGAUGGAUGGAUGGCCCCAGAAGUUUUCUCAAGACCGCUGCUGGCGCUACUAGGAUUGCACCUUCUGGGACGCGGCCAUGGCACGCAGCCUCACGGCGAUCUGGGUGAAGCUUGGCCGUUCCGACGGUUCCGUCGCCCAGCAUUGCUCCAUCAGCGACCUCCACUCCGGGUCGCAUGAGUCAGGCACCUGCGGCCGCAGAGUGUUGCUCACAAUGCCAC
This 3258-nucleotide long non-coding RNA is filed under the name Triticum aestivum (bread wheat). RNAcentral's name for it is "long non-coding RNA (TAES_LNC017018)". The record is from RNAcentral. Lineage: Eukaryota; Viridiplantae; Streptophyta; Magnoliopsida; Poales; Poaceae.